CCUACGGGUGGCAGCAGUGAGGAAUAUUGGUCAAUGGCCGGAAGUCUGAACCAGCCAAGCCGCGUGAAGGACGAAGGUGCCAAGCAUUGUAAACUUCUUUUGUCAAGGGACAAAAUCAGGCUCGAGAGCCUGACCGAAGGUACUUGAAGAAAAAGCAUCGGCUAACUCCGUGCCAGCAGCCGCGGUAAUACGGAGGAUGCGAGCGUUAUCCGGAUUUAUUGGGUUUAAAGGGUGCGUAGGCGGACUGUUAAGUCAGCGGUAAAAGCCCGGGGCUCAACCCAGGAGAGCCGUUGAAACUGGCUGUCUUGAGAUGUCGAGAGGUAGGCGGAAUGCGCAGUGUAGCGGUGAAAUGCUUAGAUAUUGCGCAGAACUCCGAUUGCGAAGGCAGCAUACCGGCGGCGAUCUGACGCUGAGGCACGAAAGCGUGGGUAUCGAACAGGAUUAGAUACCCGAGUAGUC
RNAcentral lists this ribosomal RNA (459 nucleotides) under uncultured bacterium. RNAcentral describes it as "partial 16S ribosomal RNA". It matches the Rfam family "Bacterial small subunit ribosomal RNA", at positions 338 to 795 of the family's 1533-position model. The record is from RNAcentral.